GGGGUGAAAUUCUUGGAUUACUAGAAGGCGAACUACUGCGAAAGCAUUUACCAAGGAUGUUUUCAUUAAUCAAGAACGAAAGUUGGGGGCUCGAAGACGAUCAGAUACCGUCCUAGUCUCAACCAUAAACGAUGCCGACCAGGGAUCGGCGGAUGUUGCUCUUAGGACUCCGCCGGCACCUUAUGAGAAAUCAAAGUCUUUGGGUUCCGG
Molecule: ribosomal RNA, 210 nt
Filed under: Schizochytrium aggregatum
Lineage: Eukaryota; Bigyra; Thraustochytrida; Thraustochytriidae
Description: partial Eukaryotic small subunit ribosomal RNA
Rfam family: Eukaryotic small subunit ribosomal RNA
Source: RNAcentral